UCCAUCAGCAGUUGAGUGGCUAAAUUGUGGUGUAUCAUACAGUGGAUUUCUACAGAGAAAUAGGAAGUUACGGAUAAACGCAACAGCCUGAACGAAUAGCAGCUACUGUUAACUUAGGCACAAAGAAGAGGACGCUGUAUGAUUCCAUUUUGAUGAGGUUCAAAAUAUAACUGCACAGCAAGUUGUUCUCCAGUAUGAAUCAGGAAUCGUACCAGCCUGGGGAACAUGGCGAGAUCCCAUCUUUGCGCGUCGGGAGACAAGGUCUCUCACCCAGGGUGAUCAUAACUCACUGCAGCCUCAACCUCCCGGGCUCAAGUGAUCCUCUCACCUCAGCCUCCCUAGUAGCUCAGACUAAUGACCUGUACCAGGACACCCAUACCCAGCUAAUUUUAGUAGAGACUGUCAGGCCUCAGAGCCCAAGCUAAGCCAUCAUAUCCCCAGUGACUUGCACGUAUACAUCCAGAUGGCCUGAAGCAACUGAAGAUCCACAAAAGUGAAAAUAGCCUUAACUGAUGACAUUCCACCAUUGUAAUUUGUUUCUGCCCCACCCUAACUGAUCAAUGUACUUUGUAAUUUCCCCGACCCUUAAGAAGGUUCUUUAUAAUUCUCCCACCCUUGAGAAUGUACUUUGUGAGAUCCACCCCCUGCCCACAAAACAUUGCUCCAAACUCCAAUGCCUAUCCCAAAACCUGUAAGAACUAAUGAUAAUCCCACCACCCUUUGCUGACUCUCUUUUCGGACUCAGCCCACCUGCACCCA
RNAcentral lists this long non-coding RNA (759 nucleotides) under Homo sapiens (human). RNAcentral's name for it is "non-protein coding lnc-SFT2D3-1:2". The record is from RNAcentral. Lineage: Eukaryota; Metazoa; Chordata; Mammalia; Primates; Hominidae.